UGAAAUUGAACUCGCUGUGAAGAUGCAGUGUACCCGCGGCAAGACGGAAAGACCCCGUGAACCUUUACUAUAGCUUGACACUGAACAUUGAGCCUUGAUGUGUAGGAUAGGUGGGAGGCUUUGAAGUGUGGACGCCAGUCUGCAUGGAGCCGACCUUGAAAUACCACCCUUUAAUGUUUGAUGUUCUAACGUGGACCCGUGAUCCGGGUUGCGGACAGUGUCUGGUGGGUAGUUUGACUGGGGCGGUCUCCUCCUAAAGAGUAACGGAGGAGCACGAAGGUUGGCUAAUCCUGGUCGGACAUCAGGAGGUUAGUGCAAUGGCAUAAGCCAGCUUGACUGCGAGCGUGACGGCGCGAGCAGGUGCGAAAGCAGGUCAUAGUGAUCCGGUGGUUCUGAAUGGAAGGGCCAUCGCUCAACGGAUAAAAGGUACUCCGGGGAUAACAGGCUGAUACCGCCCAAGAGUUCAUAUCGACGGCGGUGUUUGGCACCUCGAUGUCGGCUCAUCACAUCCUGGGGCUGAAGUAGGUCCCAAGGGUAUGGCUGUUCGCCAUUUAAAGUGGUACGCGAGCUGGGUUUAGAACGUCGUGAGACAGUUCGGUCCCUAUCUGCCGUGGGCGCUGGAGAACUGAGGGGGGCUGCUCCUAGUACGAGAGGACCGGAGUGGACGCAUCACUGGUGUUCGGGUUGUCAUGCCAAUGGCACUGCCCGGUAGCUAAAUGCGGAAGAGAUAAGUGCUGAAAGCAUCUAAGCACGAAACUUGCCCCGA
Molecule: ribosomal RNA, 766 nt
Filed under: Salmonella enterica
Lineage: Bacteria; Pseudomonadati; Pseudomonadota; Gammaproteobacteria; Enterobacterales; Enterobacteriaceae
Also listed under: 1 other name
Description: partial 23S ribosomal RNA
Rfam family: Bacterial large subunit ribosomal RNA
Source: RNAcentral